This is a non-coding RNA of Bos taurus (domestic cattle), 72 nucleotides long. Lineage: Eukaryota; Metazoa; Chordata; Mammalia; Artiodactyla; Bovidae. The record is from Rfam.
UCCCAGGUAGCUCAGCUAGUAAAGAAUCUGCCUGCAAUGUGGGAGACCUGGGUUCAAUCCCUAGAUUGGGAA